RNAcentral lists this ribosomal RNA (655 nucleotides) under Staphylococcus aureus. RNAcentral describes it as "bacterial SSU rRNA". It matches the Rfam family "Bacterial small subunit ribosomal RNA", at positions 78 to 718 of the family's 1533-position model. The record is from RNAcentral. Lineage: Bacteria; Bacillati; Bacillota; Bacilli; Caryophanales; Staphylococcaceae.
GCUUGCUUCUCUGAUGUUAGCGGCGGACGGGUGAGUAACACGUGGAUAACCUACCUAUAAGACUGGGAUAACUUCGGGAAACCGGAGCUAAUACCGGAUAAUAUUUUGAACCGCAUGGUUCAAAAGUGAAAGACGGUCUUGCUGUCACUUAUAGAUGGAUCCGCGCUGCAUUAGCUAGUUGGUAAGGUAACGGCUUACCAAGGCAACGAUGCAUAGCCGACCUGAGAGGGUGAUCGGCCACACUGGAACUGAGACACGGUCCAGACUCCUACGGGAGGCAGCAGUAGGGAAUCUUCCGCAAUGGGCGAAAGCCUGACGGAGCAACGCCGCGUGAGUGAUGAAGGUCUUCGGAUCGUAAAACUCUGUUAUUAGGGAAGAACAUAUGUGUAAGUAACUGUGCACAUCUUGACGGUACCUAAUCAGAAAGCCACGGCUAACUACGUGCCAGCAGCCGCGGUAAUACGUAGGUGGCAAGCGUUAUCCGGAAUUAUUGGGCGUAGAGCGCGCGUAGGCGGUUUUUUAAGUCUGAUGUGAAAGCCCACGGCUCACCCGUGGAGGGUCAUUGGAAACUGGAGAACUUGAGUGCAGAAGAGGAAAGUGGAAUUCCAUGUGUAGCGGNGAAAUGCGCAGAGAUCUGGAGGAACACCAGUGGCGA